UGAAGGCAGCAGAGUACAGGGAAAUCCUGAAGAAAUACUGAUGCAGUCUGCAAGAAGCCUGUGCUUUGGGAGAUUUGUUUUCCAGCAAGACAAUGAGCCCAAUUAUAAAGCCAAAGCUACACAGAGUCCAGAUCUUGGAUCCAAUUGGUCACCCACAAUCUCCCUGCAAUAUAAUAGAGCCUGAGCAGUCUUACAAAGAAGAAUGGAAAAAAAAUCAUGGUGUCCAGAUGUGGAAAGCUGAAGGAGACCUGUGGACAUGGACUCAAGGCUGGCAUGGCUGCCUAAGGUGUAUCUACUAACUACGGACUUGAAGGAGCUGCUUCUUACGACAAAAUGGAUCCCGAGUACAAGUUAGUCAAAGGCCAGGAGAGUCACGCUCAUUACAUCUGUUACACCAGCUCACUUCUUCUACUGCUUGAGACCCACUGAAGAACGCACCUCCCAAUGACAUCACCACCAACCCUUCCCACCGAUGACAUCCUAUCUGUUUCAUAACCCACCUACUGAAGACCUCAUUUCCUCUUCUGGCCACUCUGAUCUAUCCCCUUCCUGUUUCAGCCAUAUUUAAGAAACCAGUCAAUCUCUGGUAGUCAUUUCUGUUUUGGACUCCGAUUUGUAAAGAUGUGUUUCAUUUGCCAGCAAUAUUUUUCAGUUUACGGGAUGGUCAUCCCCAAACCUUUUUCAUGCUCUUUACCCGGUUCUUUUACAGUAUUUAUAAAAAAACUUGACAUAGGCAGGGGUUCAAAGACAGGAUUCAGUUGCUGUGAUGCAGCAGUACAAGUAUUAACUGCACUAGAACUCCAAUAACUGUUUGUUUUCUGCCUUGCGCCCUGUUUGGCUGGGAUUGGCUCCAGCUGACCCCCUGUAGUUAGGAUAUAGCGGGUUGGAUAAUGGAUGAUCAUGUAAACCCCACACAGACAGUAUUGAAUUCAAGUUCCUGUAAUUCCAAGGCAGCAAUGUAAAGUACUUUGAUAGGCUGAAUAAUCUACCAUCAUAAGAACAAAAGAACAUACCAUCAUUUUUCCACUUUGCGACUCAAAAAUAUAAUAUUCCUUUAAAUAAAAAUAAUAAUGUUAAUUGCCCCAACCUGUACAAGCUUGCAUGCUGGGCUCCAUUCGCACAAUUUGCUUACUUAGCUAAAAAAAACAAAGUGCUGCCUCACAAUACACACAACCCAGUAAAGUAGUGUGAAGUAAACUGUGUCUGCUUCAUCGCAUGCCGUGUGUUGUAAUAACAAAAGGGUUAUUUAAAAAGAAACUCUGUGCUCUCCACUUUCUGGUCAUUGACUCU
Polypterus senegalus (gray bichir) is the source of this 1290-nucleotide long non-coding RNA. RefSeq lists it as uncharacterized. The record is from RefSeq and is a predicted model, not a curated record. Lineage: Eukaryota; Metazoa; Chordata; Cladistia; Polypteriformes; Polypteridae. The transcript is spliced from 3 exons.